This 66-nucleotide transfer RNA is filed under the name Pygovepres vaccinicola. Its description in RNAcentral is "tRNA-Tyr". The record is from RNAcentral. Lineage: Eukaryota; Metazoa; Arthropoda; Insecta; Hemiptera; Miridae.
GAUAGGGUGGCUGAAUUUUUAGGUUAUAAAUUGUAAAUUUAUAUAUGAGUUAAAACUCCUUUAUCA